Long non-coding RNA from Alligator sinensis (Chinese alligator), 714 nucleotides. RefSeq lists it as uncharacterized. The record is from RefSeq and is a predicted model, not a curated record. NCBI's taxonomy places the organism in Eukaryota, Metazoa, Chordata, Crocodylia, Alligatoridae. The transcript is spliced from 4 exons.
CCUGCGCUCCAGUUUGCAGCUGGGAGCAGACACAUGGGGCACCAUGUGCAUGUGCACGCCCACAUACAUGCGUGUGGCGGGGAAUACAGCUGGGCACCAUGGAGAGCAGCUUCCUGCAGAAUUGUAGUUUCUGGAAAGGGAGCACAGGCAUUGCUUCAAGAUUACUUCCUCAGGAGCAGAUGGUUCUCCAAGGACGGUGAGGCAAAGUCAAAGAGUAAAGCAAAGCUAUCUCUACACAGGACCAGCUGCACGAGACCAUAUGGCAUGAAUCACUUCAGUGAAGCAUUCUGCACAUCACAUCACGAUUUACACUGACAUUAUGAUUUCUUAGACGUUAAGUGGAAGCAAGAGCUGCAUAGAUAAAGCCCAAUCUGUUAAACAGGUUCUACAGGUGCAUAAUCCUAUUAAGCUUAACCUUGCUGGCGUGGCUUUGUUCAGAAGGACAGAGUGGCAGUCAACAAGAGGGACAGCUUUUUUAUGUGGCCAGAAGUAAAGGCAGGAGGAACUUCUUGGGCUACACCACUACGUACCUGAAUUAAGGAAAGUUGGUGAACCAUUUGUUUCCCCAGAUGAAAGAUGAUGGCACUACUUGGCUUCUUUGUAAAGCACAUCUCAGUACUCAGAAGAAAAGGGCCUACUGUGUAUGAAGUGCAGGAAUUAUCUUCACCUGGGAUACAACAAGGACAAAACAGAAGCACAGAACAUUAUAGGGGG